GUAGGUGAACCUGCGGAGGGAUCAUUACUGAAUGGCCUCCGGGCCUUCAACCUUGCAAACCUGUGGAAGCUAACACGUGCUUCGGCGUCGCUUUUAUGCUACAAUAAGUCUCUGUGUCUGAAUCAAAUACAAGAAAUAAAACUUUCAACAAAGGAUCUCUUGGCUCUC
This 168-nucleotide unclassified non-coding RNA is filed under the name rhizosphere metagenome. RNAcentral's name for it is "partial ribosomal RNA internal transcribed spacer region". The record is from RNAcentral.